RNAcentral lists this ribosomal RNA (459 nucleotides) under uncultured bacterium. RNAcentral's name for it is "partial 16S ribosomal RNA". It matches the Rfam family "Bacterial small subunit ribosomal RNA", at positions 338 to 795 of the family's 1533-position model. The record is from RNAcentral.
CCUACGGGUGGCAGCAGUGAGGAAUAUUGGUCAAUGGCCGAGAGGCUGAACCAGCCAAGUCGCGUGAGGGAAGACGGCCCUACGGGUUGUAAACCUCUUUUGUCGGGGAGCAAAACGAGGCACGUGUGACUCAUUGAGAGUACCCGAAGAAAAAGCAUCGGCUAACACCGUGCCAGCAGCCGCGGUAAUACGGAGGAUGCGAGCGUUAUCGGGAUUUAUUGGGUUUAAAGGGUGCGCAGGCGACGGUGAAAGACAGCGGUAAAAUUGCGGGGCUCAACCCCGUACUGCCGUUGAAACUGCAUCCUUUGAGUGCGCGAGAAGUAUGCGGAAUGCGUGGUGUAGCGGUGAAAUGCAUAGAUAUCACGAAGAACUCCGAUUGCGAAGGCAGCAUACCGGCGCGCAACUGACGCUCAUGCACGAAAGCGUGGGUAUCGAACAGGAUUAGAUACCCGUGUAGUC